UACGUAGGGUGCAAGCGUUAAUCGGAAUUACUGGGCGUAAAGCGUGCGCAGGCGGUUUUGUAAGUCUGUCGUGAAAGCCCCGGGCUUAACCUGGGAAUUGCGAUGGAGACUGCAAGGCUUGAAUCUGGCAGAGGGGGGUAGAAUUCCACGUGUAGCAGUGAAAUGCGUAGAGAUGUGGAGGAACACCGAUGGCGAAGGCAGCCCCCUGGGUCAAGAUUGACGCGCAUGCACGAAAGCGUGGGGAGCAAACAGG
Molecule: ribosomal RNA, 253 nt
Filed under: uncultured bacterium
Lineage: Bacteria
Description: partial 16S ribosomal RNA
Rfam family: Bacterial small subunit ribosomal RNA
Source: RNAcentral